UCCGUAGGUGAACCUGCGGAGGGAUCAUUACAAGUGACCCCGGUCUAACCACCGGGAUGUUCAUAACCCUUUGUUGUCCGACUCUGUUGCCUCCGGGGCGACCCUGCCUUCGGGCGGGGGCUCCGGGUGGACACUUCAAACUCUUGCGUAACUUUGCAGUCUGAGUAAACUUAAUUAAUAAAUUAAAACUUUUAACAACGGAUCUCUUGGUUCUGGCAUCGAUGAAGAACGCAGCGAAAUGCGAUAAGUAAUGUGAAUUGCAGAAUCCAGUGAAUCAUCGAAUCUUUGAACGCACAUUGCGCCCCCUGGUAUUCCGGGGGGCAUGCCUGUUCGAGCGUCAUUUCACCACUCAAGCCUCGCUUGGUAUUGGGCAACGCGGUCCGCCGCGUGCCUCAAAUCGACCGGCUGGGUCUUCUGUCCCCUAAGCGUUGUGGAAACUAUUCGCUAAAGGGUGCUCGGGAGGCUACGCCGUAAAACAAACCCAUUUCUAAGGUUGACCUCGGAUCAGGUAGGGAUACCCGCUGAACUUAAGCAUAUCAAUAAGCGGAGGAAAAGAAACCAACAGGGAUUGCCCCAGUAACG
RNAcentral lists this ribosomal RNA (582 nucleotides) under uncultured fungus. RNAcentral's name for it is "eukaryotic LSU rRNA". The stretch from base 187 to 340 matches the Rfam family "5.8S ribosomal RNA". The record is from RNAcentral. Lineage: Eukaryota; Fungi.